This 510-nucleotide ribosomal RNA is filed under the name uncultured bacterium. Its description in RNAcentral is "bacterial SSU rRNA". It matches the Rfam family "Bacterial small subunit ribosomal RNA", at positions 28 to 528 of the family's 1533-position model. The record is from RNAcentral.
GACGAACGCUGGCGGCGUGGAUUAGGCAUGCAAGUCGAACGGUAUCAUCCUUUCGGGGGUGAGAGAGUGGCGAACUGGUGAGUAACACGUAGGUUAUCUACCCUCAAGACGGGGACAACCCAGGGAAACUUGGGCUAAUACCGGAUGUGAGCAACUUUUAGUUGUUUGAAAGGUGGCGUAAGCUGUCGCUUGGGGAUGAGCCUGCGUCCUAUUAGUUAGUUGGUGAGGUAACGGCUCACCUAGGCAAUGAUAGGUAGGCGGCCUUAACGGGUGGUCGCCCACACUGGGAUUGAGAUACGGCCCAGACUCCUACGGGAGGCAGCAGUCGAGAAUAGUCUACAAUGGUCGGAAGACUGAUAGUGCGACGCCCGCGUGAACGAUGAAUCCCUUCGGGGUGUAAAGUUCUUUUAUAUGUGAGCAGUGCUUCUUAUAUUAACAGUAUGGGGAGAGAGAUAUUAGCAUAUGAAUAAGCAACGGCUAACUCCGUGCCAGCAGCCGCGGUAAACUCGU